RNAcentral lists this ribosomal RNA (264 nucleotides) under uncultured bacterium. RNAcentral describes it as "partial 16S ribosomal RNA". It matches the Rfam family "Bacterial small subunit ribosomal RNA", at positions 793 to 1055 of the family's 1533-position model. The record is from RNAcentral.
GUCCUAGCCGUAAACGGUGCUUGCUUGCUGUAAGAGGAAUCGACCCCUUUGUGGCGAAGCUAACGCGAUAAGCAAGCCGCCUGGGAAGUACGGUCGCAAGAUUAAACUCAAAGAAAUUGACGGGGCCUGCACAAGCGGUGGAGUAUGUGGCUUAAUUCGAUGCAACGCGAAGAACCUUACCUGGCCUUGACAUGCACAUAGUAGAAGCCUGAAAGGGUGACGAGGUAGCAAUACCAGUGUGCACAGGUGCUGCAUGGCUGUCGU